AAAAACACAGGUCCGUGCGAAGCCGUAAGGCGAUGUAUACGGACUGACGCCUGCCCGGUGCUGGAACGUUAAGGGGACCGGUUAGUUCCAUUUCGGUGGGGCGAAGCUGAGAACUUAAGCGCCAGUAAACGGCGGUGGUAACUAUAACCAUCCUAAGGUAGCGAAAUUCCUUGUCGGGUAAGUUCCGACCUGCACGAAUGGCGUAACGACUUCUCGACUGUCUCAACCAUAGGCCCGGUGAAAUUGCACUACGAGUAGAGAUGCUCGUUUCGCGCAGCAGGACGGAAAGACCCCGGGACCUUUAC
RNAcentral lists this non-coding RNA (305 nucleotides) under Streptomyces afghaniensis 772. Its description in RNAcentral is "Bacterial large subunit ribosomal RNA". It matches the Rfam family "Bacterial large subunit ribosomal RNA", at positions 1809 to 2104 of the family's 2925-position model. Lineage: Bacteria; Bacillati; Actinomycetota; Actinomycetes; Kitasatosporales; Streptomycetaceae. The record is from Rfam by way of RNAcentral.